Long non-coding RNA from Onychostoma macrolepis, 334 nucleotides. RefSeq lists it as uncharacterized. NCBI's taxonomy places the organism in Eukaryota, Metazoa, Chordata, Actinopteri, Cypriniformes, Cyprinidae. The transcript has 4 exons. The record is from RefSeq and is a predicted model, not a curated record.
AGCAGAUCUGCAUAACCGCUCGCUCUCACUCACUGUCGUCUCACUGCCUAACUGCCACACAGCCCAACUGCCAGAGAUUUGCAAUUACAAAAUUAUUCACUUCCAAAUCCUGCGUACAAGCACCGGAAGCUGUCACAGAUUUUGCUCUUCCCAAAUACAAGUAGCCAGGUGCCAUCCAGAAGUCACAACCUGGCAUCACAGAAGCUUCCAUUGGUAGCCUGAUGGCCAACCAUUUGCGCGCUGCGCCGGACAGAAGAGGGGGCACUGGGCGCCGGAAGGCACUUGAGAGCUCUGGAAGUGUGAAUCCAUAGCGGCCCCACUAUAUUACAAAAAA